Molecule: ribosomal RNA, 573 nt
Filed under: Neocnemodon latitarsis
Lineage: Eukaryota; Metazoa; Arthropoda; Insecta; Diptera; Syrphidae
Description: partial 28S ribosomal RNA
Source: RNAcentral
CCCGAUGAACCUGAAUAUCCGUUAUGGAAAAUUCAUCAUUAAUAUUAUUAUAUUUAAAAAUAUAAUAAAAAUAGUGUGCAAUUUUUCCAUAUAAGGACAUUGUAAUCUGUUAAUGUAUUAAAUAUUUAUCAAAAAGUCUAAAACAUAAGUUUAUUCAAAUUAGUUAUUUUCGAAUUUCUAACAUAGAAUAAUUGUAUUAGAUUCGAUAAAUCAUUGACAGAUUUUACUAUAUAUAAUGCUUAAAUUCUUUUUUGAAUUUUAUAAUUAUAGUAAAAAUUUAUUUUUAUUUAUAAUUAUAUGCAUUUAUAUGAUUAACAAUGCGAUAGAUUCAGGAUACCUUCGGGACCCGUCUUGAAACACGGACCAAGGAGUCUAACAUAUGUGCAAGUCAUUGGGUAUUUUUAAUAAAACCCAAUGGCAUAAUUAACUUAACUGUUUUUUAAUGGGAUUAGUUUAUAUUUUAUUAUGAAAUAAAAAUUCAAUCCCGGGGCGUUCUAUACAGUUAUGCAUAAUGAUAUUUAUAUUAUUUAUGCCUCUAACUAGAGCGUACCUUGAGCAUAUAUGCUGUGACCC